GGUUUAAUUCGAAGCAACGCGAAGAACCUUACCAGGUCUUGACAUCCCGUUGACCACUGUAGAGAUAUGGUUUUCCCUUCGGGGACAACGGUGACAGGUGGUGCAUGGUUGUCGUCAGCUCGUGUCGUGAGAUGUUGGGUUAAGUCCCGCAACGAGCGCAACCCUUGAUCUUAGUUGCCAUCAUUUAGUUGGGCACUCUAAGGUGACUGCCGGUGACAAAUCGGAGGAAGGUGGGGAUGACGUCAAAUCAUCAUGCCCCUUAUGACCUGGGCUACACACGUGCUACAAUGGACGAUACAAACGGUUGCCAACUCGCGAGAGGGAGCUAAUCCGAUAAAGUCGUUCUCAGUUCGGAUUGUAGGCUGCAACUCGCCUACAUGAAGUCGGAAUCGCUAGUAAUCGCGGAUCAGCAUGCCGCGGUGAAUACGUUCCCGGGCCUUGUACACACCGCCCGUCACACCACGAGAGUUUGUAACACCCGAAGUCGGUGAGGUAACCUUUUGG
RNAcentral lists this ribosomal RNA (504 nucleotides) under Lysinibacillus sp. RNAcentral's name for it is "bacterial SSU rRNA". It matches the Rfam family "Bacterial small subunit ribosomal RNA", at positions 943 to 1446 of the family's 1533-position model. The record is from RNAcentral. Lineage: Bacteria; Bacillati; Bacillota; Bacilli; Caryophanales; Bacillaceae.